Molecule: ribosomal RNA, 571 nt
Filed under: uncultured bacterium
Lineage: Bacteria
Description: bacterial SSU rRNA
Rfam family: Bacterial small subunit ribosomal RNA
Source: RNAcentral
CCAUGCCUUCAAAUUAAACCCAACGAAGAUUAGCUAGUUGGUGAGGUAACGGCUCACCAAGGCGACGAUCUCUAGCUGUUCUGAGAGGAUGAUCAGCCACACUGGGACUGAGACACGGCCCAGACUCCUACGGGAGGCAGCAGUGGGGAAUAUUGGACAAUGGGCGCAAGCCUGAUCCAGCCAUGCCGCGUGUGUGAAGAAGGCCUUCGGGUUGUAAAGCACUUUCAGUGGUGAGGAAGGCGUUGUAGUUAAUAGCUGCAACGAUAGACGUUAGCCACAGAAGAAGCACCGGCUAACUCCGUGCCAGCAGCCGCGGUAAUACGGAGGGUGCGAGCGUUAAUCGGAAUUACUGGGCGUAAAGCGCACGUAGGCGGCUUGUUAAGCAAGAUGUGAAAGCCCAGGGCUCAACCUUGGAAUUGCAUUUUGAACUGGCAAGCUAGAGUUUUGAAGAGGGUGGUAGAAUUUCCAGUGUAGCGGUGAAAUGCGUAGAUAUUGGAAGGAAUACCAGUGGCGAAGGCGGCCACCUGGUCAAAAACUGACGCUGAGGAGCGAAAGCGUGGGGAGCAAACAG